CCUCUUCAAGCUCUUCCAGUUCUUUCUCUGAUUCCUUCAACGGGGGUCCUAUUCUCAGAUCAGUGGUUUACUGCUGGCAUUAGCCUCUGUAUUUGCUGUAUUCUGGCUGUGUCUCUCGGGAGUGAUCUACAUCCGGCUCCUGUCAGUCUGCACUUCUUUGCUUCAUCCAUCUUGUCUAAUUGGGUGGCUGUAUAUGGAUGGGCCACAUGUGGGGCAGACUCUGAAUGGGUGUUCCUUCAGUCUCUGCUUUAAUAUUUGCCUCUCUCUUCCCUGCCAAGGGUAUUCUUGUUCCCCUUUUAAAGAAGGAGUGAAGAAUUCACAUUUUGAUCAUCCGUCUUGAGUUUCAUUUCUUCUAGGCAUCUAGGGUAAUUCAAGCAUUUGGGCUAAUAACCACUUAUCAAUGCGUGCAUACCAUGUAUCUCUUACUGUGAUUGGGUUAGCUCACUCAGGAUGAUAUUUUCCAGGUCCAACCAAUUGCCUACGAAUUU
This 488-nucleotide long non-coding RNA is filed under the name Rattus norvegicus (Norway rat). RNAcentral's name for it is "long non-coding RNA NONRATT028408". The record is from RNAcentral. Lineage: Eukaryota; Metazoa; Chordata; Mammalia; Rodentia; Muridae.